Molecule: ribosomal RNA, 446 nt
Filed under: uncultured bacterium
Lineage: Bacteria
Description: bacterial SSU rRNA
Rfam family: Bacterial small subunit ribosomal RNA
Source: RNAcentral
GGCCAGACUCCUACGGGAGGCAGCAGUGGGGAAUAUUGCACAAUGGGGGAAACCCUGAUGCAGCGACGCCGCGUGAGUGAAGAAGUAUUUCGGUAUGUAAAGCUCUAUCAGCAGGGAAGAAAAUGACGGUACCUGACUAAGAAGCCCCGGCUAACUACGUGCCAGCAGCCGCGGUAAUACGUAGGGGGCAAGCGUUAUCCGGAUUUACUGGGUGUAAAGGGAGCGUAGACGGCAUGGCAAGUCAGAUGUGAAAGCCCGGGGCUCAACCCCGGGACUGCAUUUGAAACUGUCAGGCUGGAGUGCAGGAGAGGUAAGUGGAAUUCCUAGUGUAGCGGUGAAAUGCGUAGAUAUUAGGAGGAACACCAGUGGCGAAGGCGGCUUACUGGACUGUAACUGACGUUGAGGCUCGAAAGCGUGGGGAGCAAACAGGAUUAGAUCCCCGAGUA